GAACAAGCUCACGGCAACAUGGCUGCUGCUUGCACCACGACUGAGAGAGGAGGACUCGGGAGGACUCGGGAGGGAGGUUCGGUCUGUGUUCGGCUCCACUCGGCUUUUUCCGAGCCUGUACUGGUGACUCCUCCAGUGUGUUGGAGCGAGUCCAGUUUGACAGUGGAUCACAGGAGAGCAGGUGUCCCCCGUACUGUACAGUAUUUUGUGACCAGUGCUUUGUGAAAAAUGUCAAAUUUAAAAUAUAUAUAAAAUUAUAAACCACAUGAA
Molecule: long non-coding RNA, 270 nt
Organism: Sebastes umbrosus (honeycomb rockfish)
Lineage: Eukaryota; Metazoa; Chordata; Actinopteri; Perciformes; Sebastidae
Exons: 2
Source: RefSeq, a predicted model, not a curated record